Molecule: ribosomal RNA, 484 nt
Filed under: uncultured bacterium
Lineage: Bacteria
Description: partial 16S ribosomal RNA
Rfam family: Bacterial small subunit ribosomal RNA
Source: RNAcentral
AUUGAACGCUGGCGGAAUGCUUUACACAUGCAAGUCGAACGGCAGCAUGGGGGCAGCCCUGGUGGCGAGUGGCGAACGGGUGAGUAAUACAUCGGAACGUGCCCGGUCGUGGGGGAUAACGUAGCGAAAGUUACGCUAAUACCGCAUACGAUCUGAGGAUGAAAGCGGGGGACCUUCGGGCCUCGCGCGAUCGGAGCGGCCGAUGUCAGAUUAGGUAGUUGGUGGGGUAAAGGCCUACCAAGCCGACGAUCUGUAGCUGGUCUGAGAGGACGACCAGCCACACUGGGACUGAGACACGGCCCAGACUCCUACGGGAGGCAGCAGUGGGGAAUUUUGGACAAUGGGCGCAAGCCUGAUCCAGCCAUUCCGCGUGCAGGACGAAGGCCUUCGGGUUGUAAACUGCUUUUGUACGGAACGAAAAGGCUCUGGCUAAUACCUGGGGCUCAUGACGGUACCGUAAGAAUAAGCACCGGCUAACUACGUG